Bos indicus x Bos taurus (hybrid cattle) is the source of this 428-nucleotide long non-coding RNA. The record is from Ensembl. NCBI's taxonomy places the organism in Eukaryota, Metazoa, Chordata, Mammalia, Artiodactyla, Bovidae.
AGAAAGUGGAGCGGUGGAUAUAAGCAGAUUCCCCUGGGCUGAGGGGAACCCCCGGCUGCCUGCACCUGCAGACCAGUGUGGACCUAUCCGAUGUGAACUCAGAAGCACAGAUCUCAACACCAUUAAGACUUGCCAGUAUUUUGGGCCUUUGAUAGAACCUGCUUUAGAGUCUGAACACUUCUCCACAUGGGAAGUCUGGCCGAUGGAAGUCCAGCUGGACGAGCAGAAGCCUUCACAGGGCCCUUUGUCCAUCCUCUCAGAUCCCACUGGCAUCUCAGCACGAUUCCAAGUGAGGUUGGAUGUCGGCUUCAGAAACACCAUUGCUGAGGGUGAGUAUGGUCCCUUCAUUUUCCAGCUGGAGACUUGAGUCUCAGAGAGGUUAAGUGAUUACUCCUGGUCACACAGCUCCUAAACUGCAGACCCAGAGU